AUGUAUUUCUCCAACAAAUGGUGGCUUUCUCCUGUACUACAGACAUUCCAGUGCCUGUGAUCUGGAAGACGUUUCCAGCCGUUACAGCGAACAAUGCCACCAGAUGCUACCAUCUUCCCAUCUCCUCCCCCCAGUGCCUCAGCAAGACAAAGCCCUGUUAGGGCUUCAGAUCACCUGUGCAGCUGCUCAGAACGUGAAGGACGGUGGUGACCCAGCAACAGGAGAGGAAACAAAGUGAGCACUGAAACUGUUCAUCACUGUGGUACUUUGUUAAUGAUUCUUCUGGG
This is a long non-coding RNA of Pipra filicauda (Wire-tailed manakin), 287 nucleotides long. RefSeq lists it as uncharacterized. NCBI's taxonomy places the organism in Eukaryota, Metazoa, Chordata, Aves, Passeriformes, Pipridae. The record is from RefSeq and is a predicted model, not a curated record. The transcript has 3 exons.